This 485-nucleotide ribosomal RNA is filed under the name uncultured bacterium. RNAcentral describes it as "bacterial SSU rRNA". It matches the Rfam family "Bacterial small subunit ribosomal RNA", at positions 30 to 508 of the family's 1533-position model. The record is from RNAcentral.
AUUGAACGCUGGCGGCAGGCCUAACACAUGCAAGUCGAGCGGUAGAGAGAAGCUUGCUUCUCUUGAGAGCGGCGGACGGGUGAGUAAUGCCUAGGAAUCUGCCUGGUAGUGGGGGAUAACGUUCGGAAACGGACGCUAAUACCGCAUACGUCCUACGGGAGAAAGCAGGGGACCUUCGGGCCUUGCGCUAUCGGAUGAGCCUAGGUCGGAUUAGCUAGUUGGUGAGGUAAUGGCUCACCAAGGCAACGAUCCGUAACUGGUCUGAGAGGAUGAUCAGUCACACUGGAACUGAGACACGGUCCAGACUCCUACGGGAGGCAGCAGUGGGGAAUAUUGGACAAUGGGCGAAAGCCUGAUCCAGCCAUGCCGCGUGUGUGAAGAAGGUCUUCGGAUUGUAAAGCACUUUAAGUUGGGAGGAAGGGCAUUAACCUAAUACGUUAGUGUUUUGACGUUACCGACAGAAUAAGCACCGGCUAACUCUGUGC